Molecule: long non-coding RNA, 1050 nt
Filed under: Bos indicus x Bos taurus (hybrid cattle)
Lineage: Eukaryota; Metazoa; Chordata; Mammalia; Artiodactyla; Bovidae
Description: lncRNA (ENSBIXG00005018378.1)
Source: RNAcentral
GUGCAUGGUCCGUGCCUGGACGGUGACCUGCGCUUUACAGAACUCCAGGAAACGACCUUUCCCUAGGGCAGGGAGGAGACAGGAUGCAGAGCUCCUGCCUCUGCUGCUCUCAGUUCCGGGCUCGCAUGCCUGCUCCUGCCCUUGAACCCUAGCAUCCAGUGCCCUGAUCUAGGUGCCUUUCCUCCUUUCCAGAUGCAGUUCCUCCUGUAAUCCAGCGAUCUGCAGGAAAAACGAGACGACAGAAAUACAGUCCAAAUCUAAGAGCAGCCGCAACCACCUCAAACAGUGCAGGAGCUCCUGGCCCCACGGACAAAGAGCACCCUGAGGGCGCUGGGUUGAAGCCCACGGAGCCUGGGGACAGGCAGCAGUCCCUCUACUGCGCCACUUACAUUCCAUUGCAACAACAGGAGCGGAAGAGCGUUUUACAACCCGCUUGGACAAGUUUCAAGACAGGAGCUUGCAAGAUGCAUGGGAGUGACUGAAGAUAGAAUGCAGGUGUGGUUUAAUCAUAGAAGGGCCAAGUGGAGGAAAUAUCAGAGAGCACUGAGGUUCAGAGAUGCGCCGCCCCUGCUCCCGGCCCACCGUGUGGUCAGCAACAGGGGUGGACCCUGCAACACCGUCCUCGUUCAGGAGCCGGAUUGGGUCUGGGUCCCUCUGGAGCCGAUACCCCUGGACGUGAUGCCCUUGCCGCCCGUGCCCCCCUUGAUGCCACCCGUGCCACCCUUGAUGCCCAUGCUGCCCUUACCCCCUCUGUUUCUGCCUCCUCUGCCCUGGAUUCUACCAGCCUCCAUUCACUCCGGCUGCCCUCACGGCCUUGCCUGGUCCCCUACCACCGGUGGCCUUUCUGUAGCCCCGUUUCCUCUUGAAUGGUCUCCAUGACAGCUUUGUCGAAAGUGCCUUUGAGCCAGAUUGAAGUUCCGAUACCUCAGCAUCAAGCACACAGGGCCCGCCAAGUGCCUGCCAUGUGUCUUACAUACACAUGCUGAGUCACUGACCCACUAUUUUAGGGCCCGUUUUCUGUGUUUUCAAUAAAGUAGUGAAUUCUCUGCA